UUCUUCCACUCACUUCUUCAAAUAUCUAACAAUUAAAAAAAUAACACAACAUGGCAGACAUAUACGGUCAGUUUAUUACCUCCUCCUUUUUGGAAGUUGGUGAAAAAUGCGUUGACUUGAUAACUUCCUUUAGGUAUUUUGUCAGCGAAAAAUCGAACUAAAAAUACUUACAUGCUAUUUUCGUACGAAUCGUCAUAAUACAAUAUAUUUUAGAGAAAACCCAUUCUAAAUUCAAACCGCAUUAUUUAAUUGUGAGUGGCCUAGUUCAAUAAAUACAGCAGCACCGCGCUGUAAAUUUUAGAAUUCUCACCAGCGAUUUCCAUCUGUAAUUUGGACUACUGCAUCAAUCUUUUUGAUCUAUGUCUGCGUGGGCUUGCAGUAUGAAUUUGUAAUCCGCUAUAUUUUAUUACACUAAGA
Molecule: long non-coding RNA, 417 nt
Organism: Aricia agestis (brown argus)
Lineage: Eukaryota; Metazoa; Arthropoda; Insecta; Lepidoptera; Lycaenidae
Exons: 3
Source: RefSeq, a predicted model, not a curated record